This 1436-nucleotide ribosomal RNA is filed under the name uncultured Bordetella sp. Its description in RNAcentral is "partial 16S-23S ribosomal RNA intergenic spacer". It matches the Rfam family "Bacterial small subunit ribosomal RNA". Lineage: Bacteria; Pseudomonadati; Pseudomonadota; Betaproteobacteria; Burkholderiales; Alcaligenaceae. The record is from RNAcentral.
ACGAUUAUGGCUCAGAUUAACGCUAGCGGGAUGCUCUACACAUGCAAGUCGAACGGCAGCACGGACUUCGGUCUGGUGGCGAGUGGGCGGAACGGCAGUAAUGUACUGGAACGUGCCCAGUAGCGGGGAUAACGGCCACGUGAAAGCGUAGCUAAUACCGCAUAAUACCCUACGGGGAAAGCAGGGGAUCGCAAGACCUUGCACUAUUGGAGCGGCCGAUAUCGGAUUAGCUAGUUGCGGGUAACGGCUCACCAAGGCGACAGAUCCGCAGCUGGUCGAGAGGACGACCAGCCACACUGGGACUGAGACACGGCCCAGACUCUACGGGAGGCAGCAGUGGGGAAUUUUGGACAAUGGGGGAAACUCCUUGAUCCAGCCAUCCCGGCGUGCGUAUGAAGGCCUUCGGGUUGUAAAGCACUUUUGGCAGGAAAGAAACGUCGGGUUAAUACCCGGCGAAACUGAUGCGCCCAGAGAAUAAGACCGGCUAACUACGCGCCAGCAGCCGCGGUAAUACGUAGGGUGUGCGUUAAUCGGAAUUACUGGGCGAAAAGGGCAGGCGGUUCGGAAAGAAAGAUGUGAAAUCCCCAGAGCUUAACUUUGGAACUGUAUUUUUAACUACCGCUAGAGGAAGUCAGAGGGAGGUGGAAUUCCGCGUGUAGCAGGAAAUGCGUAGAUAUGCGAGAACACCGAUGGCGAAGCGCGCAGGUCGCGGAUAACACUGACGCUCAUGCACGAAAGCGCGGGAGUAAACAGGAUUAUACCCGGUAGUCCACGCCCCAAACGAUGUCAAUCCGCUGUUGGGGUCAUUCUGGUAGCGCAGCUAACGCGUGAAGUUGACCGCCUGGGGAGGUCGCAGAGAUUAAACUCAAAGCAUCGACGGGGACUCCAAGCGGUGGAUGAUGUGGAUUAAUUCGAUGCAACGCGAAAUCUUUACCUACCCUUGAGAUAGUCUGGAAUGCCGAAGAGAUUUGGCAGCGCUCGCAAGAGAACCGGAACACAGGUGCUGUACAUGGCUGUCGUCAGCUCGUGUCGUGAGAUGUUGGGUUAAGUCCGGCAAACGAGCGGCAACCCUAGUCAAGCAUACGAAAGGGCACUGACGAGACUGCCGGUACAAACGGAGGAAGGUGGGGAUGACGUCAAGUCCUCAUGGCCUUUAUGUAGGGCUUCACACGUCAUACAAUGGUCGGGACAGAGGUCAGCCAACCGCGAGGGGAGCCAAUCCCAGAAACCUGAUCGGUCCGGAUCGCAGUCUGCACCGACUGCGUGAAGCCGGAAUCGGCACCGCGGAUCAGCAUGUUGUGAAUACGUUCCCGGGUCUUGUACACACCGCCCGUCACACCAUGGAGUGGGUUUUACCAGAAGUAGUUAGCCUAAACCGCAAGGGGGGCGAUUACCACAGUAGGAUUCAUGACUGGGGUGAAGUCGUAACAAGGUAG